Nelumbo nucifera (sacred lotus) is the source of this 1556-nucleotide long non-coding RNA. RefSeq lists it as uncharacterized. NCBI's taxonomy places the organism in Eukaryota, Viridiplantae, Streptophyta, Magnoliopsida, Proteales, Nelumbonaceae. The record is from RefSeq and is a predicted model, not a curated record.
CGAACGGUGAAGAAGAAGCAGAGGUAGUAACGGUCCCAAUACAUCCAUAUCUCGUCGCCUGCGUUCAGCUUCCUUCUCCUCACGAAGCUCUCUCUCCAGUUGUCAUUCAAAACGUAACACCUGCUGACAGUUCACAUCUCAACGUCAACUCGUGAUCCGAACCUGUAUCCAAAUCCUUUAUUUGUACUCGCGUGCCCGCCCCGUUAUUCACUUCCUCCACCUGCUCUUCUUCUAUGAACGAGAGGGUCUUCGUGCAGCUUCAAUUCUGUCGAUAUACCGAAAUGAUCGUCGUUUUCGUUUAAUCCUCGGGGCUGAUCACGGGCGGUUGGGGCGUGGAUUCAUCCUUUCAGCUGCGGCAGCAUGGCCACGGGGAACUCUCGCCGGCAAAAAAAUCGAAGAAGGCAUCCACUUGAGAUCAGAACUUGCUUGGAAUGGAAGAAACAGAAAAUGCUGAGAAAAAUUCUUGUCCUGAAUCCUCUCUAUCUGCUGCAUCAUCUAGCCAAGAAAAUUAUCAUCUUGAUUCUGAAGUGGAAACUAGAACUGCUAAUGAAAAAUGUGGCAAUUGACCAAAAGAAUGCUGCUAUGAAAGAUCCUAAAAUUUUAAUUGUACAAGAUGCUUCUGACGGCCUGGAACUGGACCAAGAUGGACAUCUUCCGGUAGAAAACCUAGGAAGUUUAAAGGGUAAAAGGUUAAGAAAUGCUACCAGGGUAGCAAAUGCUGUUGAGAUUAAUAUUGUCCCAACACCAUCUAAUGGUUCCAUUGAAACUAGAGAAGCCAGUUCUGCUUCAAUAGAGGCUAUAAUUGUUGCCCAUAAGACACCAGAGUCCACUGAUUUUUUUUCUUUUUUGGAUAAGUAAGAGUCCACUGGUGUCUCUCAACAUGUAAAACGGGUUGAUGUACACAGAGGCCUUGUAGAUACUGCAACACCAUUUGAAUCUAUUAAAGAAGUUAUUUCUAAAUUUGGAGGAAUUAUUGAGACAAAGCCCAUAGAAUACAGACUUUUGAGGUAUGGGGUUUCUCUCGUUCUAUUUGUGUGUUGUUAACUUGUUAUUGUUGUUAUUGUUAUUUGUUGUUGAUAUUAUUCCUGAUUCAACCGAGACAGUGUAUGUUGGUUCAAUUUGGACACUAUUUUCGACAUUCUCUUUCAGGAUUUCUGUGGCAGUUCUUUUGCAUUGUUGCCUGAGAAACUUAAGUUGUCAUACUGGCGGAACUCAUGUUCAUGGUGCAUCCUGUUCACCUUAUAUCUAAAUGGUGAGUUGUAUCUACCGAAGACUUGCCUACUUUUUGAGUUAAAGAGAGCCUAGCUUAUCAUAAUAUAUAAUAUUGUUCAAAUUUUGUAUUUGUUUUGUAGUUUGGCUUGGAUACCUUUUCUAAUUAGAUUUCAGCAACUAUGCAGUAGGGCAAUCCAUAGUAGUAAUGAAUCGCAAGUUGUGUGUCAUUUUGGGUUUUGAUUGGGCUUUGUUUCCAGCAUUUGCUGGAUGCAAUGUUAAAAAUACCAUUUAUGGUUUUGUAUUGUUUUAACCAAAAAGAUUUUGGAAUGGGAAAACAAAAAAAA